RNAcentral lists this ribosomal RNA (168 nucleotides) under uncultured bacterium. RNAcentral's name for it is "partial 16S rRNA". It matches the Rfam family "Bacterial small subunit ribosomal RNA", at positions 351 to 511 of the family's 1533-position model. The record is from RNAcentral.
CAGGUAGGGAAUCUUCCACAAUGGGCGAAAGCCUGAUGGAGCAACGCCGCGUGUGUGAUGAAGGGUUUCGGCUCGUAAAACACUGUUGUAAGAGAAGAAUGACAUUGAGAGUAACUGUUCAAUGUGUGACGGUAUCUUACCAGAAAGGAACGGCUAAAUACGUGCCAG